GGCCUGGCUGGCCGGUCCGCCUCACCGCGUGCACUGGUCCGGCCGGGCCUUUCCUUCUGGCUAGCCGCAUGCUCUUCACUGAGUGUGUCGGGGAACCAGGACUUUUACUUUGAAAAAAUUAGAGUGUUCAAAGCAGGCCUUUGCUCGAAUAUGUUAGCAUGGAAUAAUAAAACAGGACGU
This 180-nucleotide ribosomal RNA is filed under the name uncultured Glomeromycotina. RNAcentral's name for it is "partial small subunit ribosomal RNA". Lineage: Eukaryota; Fungi; Glomeromycota. The record is from RNAcentral.